UCCUAUAUGUAUGACACAAUCACACCCCUAUAACAUGAAUUGAUUUUUGUAUUCCUUCAGCCAUAUUUCACAUAUAAAAAAGUUAUGGAAAAUAUGUAAACCAGUAUCGCCUCUCAUCUCAUUCAGAUCAACUGAGUUCAUUCAAAUCAACUCAACGUAAGCAAGUAUUACGACGUUAGCGAAAAUAUUGAUUAACAAGUUGUAUGUAUAGCUAUUUGUAUGCUUUGCAACACUUAAGCAACAAAAAAUAGCAGCUGUAAUCAUCUCAGGGCUUGUAAAUAAAUACAUACCUAUAUAUGUACGAAGCAAAUACAGAUAAAUAUAAUCAGUUAACUCUAAAUAUCUACAAUGGAAAGAGUACUUACUCAUACAAGAGAUCAACAAAUUAUCGCAAAAAUCAUGGUGCAAGAUCCAAUCACUAUGCAAAACUGGAUCCACAUAUCACACGAACUUGGUUUAGGUGCUGAAUUCGAAACAAGACAUUAUCCCCAAGUGGUGAUGGGCCUUUUAAAAUACGAUAUCCUGUUCCAAAAAAUGCUUCAGGAGUGGGUCGCCGCAUUCAGAGGGGAAGCUACCGUGGGAGAAUUAUGCAAAAUAUUGAGUCAACUCGGACUUAAAACGAUAUCUAAUGAUAUCGAGGCCCAUUUUUUAAACCAAACGGAUAAUUCAGUUGAAUCCAACCCAGAUGGAGACGUGGGACCAGAGGCCAAGAAGAAGAAGGAAGAACGAAUUCUCUUUUUGCCCUUUCCAAAGCCUGAUAAAAAUUUCACUGGCAGAACUCAACUUAGUGAAGACAUUGUUAAAUGUCUCACAGAAUGGGGGAAAAAUCCAAGUCACCAGGUUGGGUUUCCCCUCGUCGAUCUGUACGGUCUUGGAGGUCACGGAAAAACACAAACUGCACAAAGCAUUGCAAACAGAUGCGCUCAAGAGGAAAUAUUUAAUGGAGUAAUAUGGAUAGAUGCAGAACACGAAACUGGAAUCAUAGAAAAAAUUCGAAGGGAAUUACACAAUCAAUGAAUUUAAGAUUUCCAAGAGAAUGAUGGGCUUCUGCUGGCCAAUAGAUUUUACGAUUUCUUAAUUUCUAAAAGUCCGCAACAAUUUUUAGUCAUAUUUGACAAUGUAAAUGGAUUUGAAGAAAUCGAGAAAUAUUUACCGCUUAACAAAAACGUGGACAAUAUAGCCGUCUUACUGACAUCUGUGGAAAAGAUUAUAAUUCUGAGUGGAAUGGGGGAAAUUGGAAGUUUUAGGGUGGACGUUUUACAAGAAGGUGAAGCUAGAGAAUUGGUAUCCAAGAUAUUGCCGGAGUCGGCUGAAUCUGAUAUUUCCCUCCUGGUCGCCGAGUCCGACCGAAUACCAAUAAUUCUCUGUAUUAUGGCAGGAACCAUCGCUCACAGUUCAUACACAAUCGUCCAAUUUGUUGAAGCAAUGAAGGACAAAUCCAAAAUUAUUAGAUAUCCACACGAUCCCAAUAAGAAAGACAACCUGAACUUGCAGUACAAGAAAAGUUUAUACGUUUGUGUUAAAAUUACUCUCGACAAAUUAAUGGAAUCGAAUCAUUUGUAUGCCUCACUAGCAAUACAUAUUAUUGAGAGAUAUGCCUAUUUCGACAUUAGUUGUCCCAUUGUGUAUUUCCUGAAUUAUAUCUCCACUAUUAAACACGACAUUGACCAAAUUUUAAACGAGAGUUUGGGCCUGCGUGGGUCAGUCGAAGUCUUCAAAAGUGCCAUAUCAUUCCUUUCGACAUUCUCCUUAGUUAAUUACACAACUUCUGAGCAUUCAAGCUUCAAUUAUAAGCUAAGCUUCAUCGCUUAAUUCAAGAAACAUUUAUAUCAAUACAAAGAGAUGAAGCACGUGAACAUGACAUAUUGGAUGACAUUAUCGGAUGCAAGGAUUAUCUGCAAUUUAAUGAUACCGAGGAAGAUAUUCUCGACUAUUAUAGGAUCAAAAGACCAAUUGCUAUUCUGUGGUCGCACGUGGCAGACCACGA
Molecule: RNA transcript, 1987 nt
Organism: Folsomia candida
Lineage: Eukaryota; Metazoa; Arthropoda; Collembola; Entomobryomorpha; Isotomidae
Exons: 6
Source: RefSeq, a predicted model, not a curated record